GGGUGUAGUGUUUUUAUUUUCAUUUAGAAAAUUCCUUUUACUUACUUUGAGAAAUGACAUCUUGGAAGCAAUGAUUCAAAUCGGUUUUUAGACUAGGCACGGUGCACGGUUCAUGAUGAGAAAAUGGUGAUUUGAUUGGAAGCACUUUAAAUUUCACUGAGAAAUGUUGUCACGGUUUAAGUUCAAUUUGAAGGAAAGCAAAUAUUCACUUUUAUUUUAAAAUGCUGUCACGGUUUUCAAUAGGUUUUGUUUAUCUUUUCUUCAUGCUUGAACCAAGAGUUAUUUUUAUAUUGGAAUGUAUGGAAGUAGCUUAGUCAUGU
This 320-nucleotide long non-coding RNA is filed under the name Vigna radiata. RNAcentral's name for it is "long non-coding RNA (VRAD_LNC015009)". Lineage: Eukaryota; Viridiplantae; Streptophyta; Magnoliopsida; Fabales; Fabaceae. The record is from RNAcentral.